UCCGGCUUGACGCCGGCAGUCCCCCGAGAGUCCUCAGCUUUACCUGUUAGUAACACGGGGCAAGGGUUGCGCUCGUUGCGGGACUUAACCCAACAUCUCACGACACGAGCUGACGACAGCCAUGCAGCACCUGUGUAAGCUUCCCUUGCGGGAUCGUCAGGCUUUCACCCUUCUACUACCUACAUGUCAAGGCCAGGUAAGGUUCUUCGCGUUGCAUCGAAUUGAGCCACAUACUCCACCGCUUGUGCAGGCCCCCGUCAAUUUCUUUGAGUUUUAAUCUUGCGACCGUACUCCCCAGGCGGCGCAUUUAACGCGUUAGCUUCGCCACAAAAGGGGUCGAUUCCUUUUACAGCAAAUGCGCACCGUUUACGGCUAGGACUAC
This 382-nucleotide unclassified non-coding RNA is filed under the name uncultured Verrucomicrobiae bacterium. RNAcentral describes it as "contains 16S-23S intergenic spacer region". Lineage: Bacteria; Pseudomonadati; Verrucomicrobiota; Verrucomicrobiia. The record is from RNAcentral.